CAGCCGUAAACAAUGUGCGUUAGGUGUGUCGGUAACCACGUGUUACUGAUGCGCCGAAGAGAAAUCGUGAAACGCACCACCUGGGAAGUACGGACGCAAGGCUGAAACUUAAAGGAAUUGGCGGGGGAGCACCACAACAGGUGGAGCCUGCGGUUUAAUUGGAUUCAACGCCGGACAUCUCACCGGAUAAGACAGCUGAAUGAUUGUCAAUCUGAAGGUUUUACAUGACUAGCUGAGAGGAGGUGCAUGGCGUCAGUGACU
RNAcentral lists this ribosomal RNA (261 nucleotides) under uncultured archaeon. Its description in RNAcentral is "partial 16S ribosomal RNA". It matches the Rfam family "Archaeal small subunit ribosomal RNA", at positions 748 to 1008 of the family's 1478-position model. The record is from RNAcentral.